This 433-nucleotide ribosomal RNA is filed under the name uncultured bacterium. Its description in RNAcentral is "partial 16S ribosomal RNA". It matches the Rfam family "Bacterial small subunit ribosomal RNA", at positions 29 to 507 of the family's 1533-position model. The record is from RNAcentral.
AACGAACGCUGGCGGCAUGCCUAACACAUGCAAGUCGAACGAGACCUUCGGGUCUAGUGGCGCACGGGUGCGUAACGCGUGGGAACCUGCCCUUAGGUUCGGAAUAACUCCCCGAAAGGGGUGCUAAUACCGGAUAAUGUCUUCGGACCAAAGAUUUAUCGCCUUUGGAUGGACCCGCGUUGGAUUAGCUAGUUGGUAGGGUAAAAGCCUACCAAGGCGACGAUCCAUAGCUGGUCUGAGAGGAUGAUCAGCCACACUGGGACUGAGACACGGCCCAGACUCCUACGGGAGGCAGCAGUGGGGAAUAUUGGACAAUGGGGGAAAGCCUGAUCCAGCAAUGCCGCGUGAGUGAUGAAGGUCUUAGGGUUGUAAAGCUCUUUUAACCGGGAUGAUAAUGACAGUACCGGGAGAAUAAGCUCCGGCUAACUCCGUG